Dermochelys coriacea (leatherback sea turtle) is the source of this 110-nucleotide long non-coding RNA. RefSeq lists it as uncharacterized. The transcript is spliced from 3 exons. The record is from RefSeq and is a predicted model, not a curated record. NCBI's taxonomy places the organism in Eukaryota, Metazoa, Chordata, Testudines, Dermochelyidae.
GCGGUGGGGCCUGUGACUCUUGCAGUAACAGGGCUCCCCUGGGGAUUGCAACGAGCGGUCCCAGGGGUGGAUGAGUCUGCAGCUCGACCCUGGCAAAGAGGUGGUGACCU